GGGUGACUGCGUACCUUUUGUAUAAUGGGUCAGCGACUUAUAUUUUGUAGCGAGGUUAACCGAAUAGGGGAGCCGAAGGGAAACCGAGUCUUAACUGGGCGAAUAGUUGCAAGGUAUAGACCCGAAACCCGGUGAUCUAGCCAUGGGCAGGUUGAAGGUUGGGUAACACUAACUGGAGGACCGAACCGACUAAUGUUGAAAAAUUAGCGGAUGACUUGUGGCUGGGGGUG
RNAcentral lists this ribosomal RNA (230 nucleotides) under Haemophilus influenzae. Its description in RNAcentral is "partial 23S ribosomal RNA". It matches the Rfam family "Bacterial large subunit ribosomal RNA", at positions 591 to 823 of the family's 2925-position model. Lineage: Bacteria; Pseudomonadati; Pseudomonadota; Gammaproteobacteria; Pasteurellales; Pasteurellaceae. The record is from RNAcentral.